Molecule: ribosomal RNA, 454 nt
Filed under: bacterium Fw70s-6
Lineage: Bacteria
Description: bacterial SSU rRNA
Rfam family: Bacterial small subunit ribosomal RNA
Source: RNAcentral
GACGAACGCUGGCGGCGUGCUUAACACAUGCAAGUCGAACGAUGAAGCUGGAGCUUGCUCCAGUGGAUUAGUGGCGAACGGGUGAGUAACACGUGAGCAAUCUGCCCUUGACUCUGGGAUAACUGCGGGAAACUGUAGCUAAUACCGGAUACGACACCUUGGGGCAUCCCGGGGUGUGGAAAGAAUUUCGGUCAAGGAUGAGCUCGCGGCCUAUCAGCUAGUUGGUGAGGUAAUGGCUCACCAAGGCGACGACGGGUAGCCGGCCUGAGAGGGUGACCGGCCACACUGGAACUGAGAUACGGUCCAGACUCCUACGGGAGGCAGCAGUGGGGAAUAUUGCACAAUGGGCGCAAGCCUGAUGCAGCAACGCCGCGUGAGGGAUGAAGGCCUUCGGGUUGUAAACCUCUUUUAGCAGGGAAGAAGCGAAAGUGACGGUACCUGCAGAAAAAGCACG